Molecule: long non-coding RNA, 1173 nt
Filed under: Marmota monax (woodchuck)
Lineage: Eukaryota; Metazoa; Chordata; Mammalia; Rodentia; Sciuridae
Source: RNAcentral
GUCCGGGCGAGCGCACCGCCCGCGCCCAGCGCCCCGCGUCCCGGGCCGUGCAGCCAGCCCUUACCUUGCAGCGCUCGGCUCUCCCCGAUCGCUAAGCUACUUAUCCCGGGAAAGCUGCGCGGGGCCCGGGAGCGAACCCACAGACAAAAAGUGAAACUUCGGCAGGGCUGGAGCGACUGCUGGUUGGUGCCUUUCCCCCUCCUUCCUCCCCACCGUCCCCACCCCCUCCCCUCGGUCUCCCGUGCGGUGCCCUGAGCGCUGGAGGCUGACGUCAGGGGCCUGAAUUCCUGACUUUGCCUGCACGCAUUUGUCCAUGUAAGGUAUGGGAAGGCGUGUGCCCGCGGGCCGCAGCGCAGCGCUCGCCUGGCGGGGGAGGGGGCGCACGCAGCGGGCAGUGACUUUGCCAAAAGGUGGGCGCACAGAGGGCAUUGCAUUUCCUGGGAGGAAGAGGAGGAGACGUGGGAAUGUAGGGAACUUGCAAAGGAGGAAGGGAAAGAGGGAGGUGUGGAGGCUUGCCUCCACUGGAGGAAGAGGAAGGAGACGUAGGAGGAAGCGGCCGAGUUGAGGGGCUGCUAGAGAAGUGGGGCGACUUGAGUCUCCUAUGCAGGUGCCAAAUUAGGGGACUGAGCCUGAGCUAAAGUAUUCCCUUCGACAGACCUCCUCCUGAGCCCCACCCCGGAUUCCCAGCAAGACUCAAAACUUACAGGAUGUUCAAACUGGCAGAGACAAACUUCCAACCCAUUCACUUCACCCGUGAGAAUGCUGAAACUUGCAGAAAAGAAAUGAUUUGCACAGAACCUACUCUCAACAGAUCCAGGAGCGGGACCCGAGUCCCUGCCUCCCCUCAGGAUUGAUUCCAGCCCGCAGGCAGGGUCCUGACUGCCUCCUAACCUCUGAACUGUGAACCAGGUUAGAUAUCAGACUAGGCAGGAGGACCACCCAGUGAAGUGACUUUAUAUUUCCCUUCCAGAACUAGUUCUGAGAAGGUUCUGGUUGACAGUGAGCCCUGAGGAACAGAGACAAUCAGUUGCUUCAGGGUAACUUCCCUUGUACUAUGCUGAAAGAGGUGAGUUAAACAACUACAGCUUGCUCUGUACUUACAGUUUCGAAAAAAUGUAUACGAACUGGGUGGACUGGUUUGAAUAAAGACAAGCCUGUUCUUGGAAGGUUCAA